CGGCAGCACGACCUUCGGGUUGGUGGCGAGUGGCGCACGGGUGCGUAACGCGUAUAGAACCUACCCUUUACAGGGGGAUAGCCCGGAGAAAUCCGGAUUAAUACCCCGUAGUACUGAGUUCCGGCAUCGGGACUCAGCUAAAGCUGAGGCGGUAAAGGAUGGCUAUGCGUCCUAUUAGUUAGUAGGUGAGGUAACGGCUCACCUAGGCUACGAUAGGUAGGGGCCCUGAGAGGGGGAUCCCCCACACUGGUACUGAGACACGGACCAGACUCCUACGGGAGGCAGCAGUGAGGAAUAUUGGACAAUGGUCGAGAGACUGAUCCAGCCAUGCCGCGUGCAGGAAGACAGCCUUAUGGGUUGUAAACUGCUUUUGUACGGGAAGAAUAAUGCCCACGUGUGGGCAGAUGACGGUACCGUACGAAUAAGGACCGGCUAACUCCGUGCCAGCAGCCGCGGUAAUACGGAGGGUCCAAGCGUUAUCCGGAAUCAUUGGGUUUAAAGGGUCCGCAGGCGGGCCAGUAAGUCAGGGGUGAAAGUUUGCGGCUCAACCGUAAAAUUGCCUUUGAUACUGCUGGUCUUGAGUUACGGUGAAGUGGCUGGAAUAUGUGGUGUAGCGGUGAAAUGCAUAGAUAUCACAUAGAACACCGAUUGCGAAGGCAGGUCACUAACCGCCAACUGACGCUGAUGGACGAAAGCGUGGGGAGCGAACGGGAUUAGAUACCCCGGUAGUCCACGCCGUAAACGAUGGACACUAGCUGUCGGGCUUUAGGGCUCGGCGGCCAAGCGAAAGUGAUAAGUGUC
RNAcentral lists this ribosomal RNA (801 nucleotides) under uncultured bacterium. RNAcentral's name for it is "bacterial SSU rRNA". It matches the Rfam family "Bacterial small subunit ribosomal RNA", at positions 67 to 868 of the family's 1533-position model. The record is from RNAcentral.